RNAcentral lists this ribosomal RNA (1005 nucleotides) under Acrodictys sp. RNAcentral describes it as "SSU rRNA". It matches the Rfam family "Eukaryotic small subunit ribosomal RNA", at positions 88 to 1102 of the family's 1831-position model. The record is from RNAcentral. Lineage: Eukaryota; Fungi; Ascomycota; Sordariomycetes.
UGCGAAUGGCUCAUUAAAUCAGUUAUCGUUUAUUUGAUAGUACCUUACUACAGGGAUAACCGUGGUAAUUCUAGAGCUAAUACUUGCUGAAAACCCCGACUUCGGAAGGGGUGUAUUUAUUAGAUUAAAAACCAAUGCCCUUCGGGGCUCUCUGGUGAUUCAUGAUAACUUCUCGAAUCGCAUGGCCUUGCGCCGGCGAUGGUUCAUUCAAAUUUCUGCCCUAUCAACUUUCGACGGCUGGGUCUUGGCCAGCCGUGGUUGCAACGGGUAACGGAGGGUUAGGGCUCGACCCCGGAGAAGGAGCCUGAGAGACGGCUACUACAUCCAAGGAAGGCAGCAGGCGCGCAAAUUACCCAAUCCCGACACGGGGAGGUAGUGACGAUAAAUACUGAUACAGGGCUCUUUUGGGUCUUGUAAUUGGAAUGAGUACAAUUUAAAUCCCUUAACGAGGAACAAUUGGAGGGCAAGUCUGGUGCCAGCAGCCGCGGUAAUUCCAGCUCCAAUAGCGUAUAUUAAAGUUGUUGCGGUUAAAAAGCUCGUAGUUGAACCUUGGGCCUGGCUGGCCGGUCCGCCUCACCGCGUGCACUGGUCCGGCCGGGUCUUUCCCUCUGGGGAGCCGCAUGCCCUUCACUGGGUGUGUCGGGGAACCAGGACUUUUACUUUGAAAAAAUUAGAGUGUUCAAAGCAGGCCUAUGCUCGGAUACAUUAGCAUGGAAUAAUAGAAUAGGACGCGCGGUUCUAUUUUGUUGGUUUCUAGGACCGCCGUAAUGAUUAAUAGGGACAGUCGGGGGCAUCAGUAUUCAAUUGUCAGAGGUGAAAUUCUUGGAUUUAUUGAAGACUAACUACUGCGAAAGCAUUUGCCAAGGAUGUUUUCAUUAAUCAGGAACGAAAGUUAGGGGAUCGAAGACGAUCAGAUACCGUCGUAGUCUUAACCAUAAACUAUGCCAACUAGGGAUCGGACGAUGUUAUUUUUUGACUUGUUCGGCACCUUACACGAAAGUACAA